This 77-nucleotide transfer RNA is filed under the name Rhodobacterales bacterium. Its description in RNAcentral is "tRNA-Arg". It matches the Rfam family "tRNA". Rfam says of the family: Transfer RNA (tRNA) molecules are approximately 80 nucleotides in length. Their secondary structure includes four short double-helical elements and three loops (D, anti-codon, and T loops). Further hydrogen bonds mediate the characteristic L-shaped molecular structure. tRNAs have two regions of fundamental functional importance: the anti-codon, which is responsible for specific mRNA codon recognition, and the 3' end, to which the tRNAs corresponding amino acid is attached (by aminoacyl-tRNA synthetases). tRNAs cope with the degeneracy of the genetic code in two manners: having more than one tRNA (with a specific anti-codon) for a particular amino acid; and 'wobble' base-pairing, i.e. permitting non-standard base-pairing at the 3rd anti-codon position. Lineage: Bacteria; Pseudomonadati; Pseudomonadota; Alphaproteobacteria; Rhodobacterales. The record is from RNAcentral.
GGCCCCGUAGCUCAGCUGGAUAGAGCGGCAGAUUCCUAAUCUGUAGGUCGCAGGUUCGAGUCCUGCCGGGGUCACCA